This 254-nucleotide ribosomal RNA is filed under the name uncultured bacterium. Its description in RNAcentral is "partial 16S ribosomal RNA". It matches the Rfam family "Bacterial small subunit ribosomal RNA", at positions 524 to 777 of the family's 1533-position model. The record is from RNAcentral.
UACGUAGGGUGCAAGCGUUAAUCGGAAUUACUGGGCGUAAAGCGUGCGCAGGCGGUUUUGUAAGUCUGUCGUGAAAUCCCCGGGCUCAACCUGGGAAUUGCGAUGGAGACUGCAAAGCUGGAGUCUGGCAGAGGGGGGUAGAAUUCCACGUGUAGCAGUGAAGUGCGUAGAGAUGUGGAGGAACACCGAUGGCGAAGGCAGCCCCCUGGGUCAAGAUUGACGCUCAUGCACGAAAGCGUGGGGAGCAAACGAGG